RNAcentral lists this ribosomal RNA (310 nucleotides) under uncultured fungus. Its description in RNAcentral is "eukaryotic LSU rRNA". The stretch from base 1 to 52 matches the Rfam family "5.8S ribosomal RNA", at positions 103 to 154 of the family's 154-position model. Lineage: Eukaryota; Fungi. The record is from RNAcentral.
AACGCACCUUGCGCCCUUUGGUAUUCCGAAGGGCAUGCCUGUUUGAGUGUCAUUAAAUUAUCAACCUUGCUCGCUUUUACCGGCUUGAGUUAGGCUUGGAUGUGAGGGCUUUGCUGGCUUCCUUCAGUGGAUGGUCUGCUCCCUUUAAAUGCAUUAGUGGGAUCUCUUGUGGACCGUCACUUGGUUGUGAUAAUUAUCUACGCCAUUUGACUUUGAAGCAAACUUAUGGGAACCUGCUUAUAACCGUCCUUUCGAGGACAAUCUUUGACAUUUUGACCUCAAAUCAGGUAGGACUACCCGCUGAACUUAA